Molecule: non-coding RNA, 28 nt
Filed under: Mus musculus (house mouse)
Lineage: Eukaryota; Metazoa; Chordata; Mammalia; Rodentia; Muridae
Source: RNAcentral
UUCUACAAUAAAGCUCUAAAACCAUAGA